Alosa sapidissima (American shad) is the source of this 481-nucleotide long non-coding RNA. RefSeq lists it as uncharacterized. Lineage: Eukaryota; Metazoa; Chordata; Actinopteri; Clupeiformes; Clupeidae. The record is from RefSeq and is a predicted model, not a curated record. The transcript has 2 exons.
ACACACACACACACACACACACACACACACACACACACACACACAGACACACACACACACACACACACACACACAUGCAUGAGUGACACUGUUUAAUUAACAUCUUCACAGCUACACAUCCCCUCACAUACUAACACACACAAAUGCACAAACAUAUAUACACACACACACAAAUACACUCAUACACAAAUAUAGCUUCACACACAUGCUCACAUGCCCUCAUACACCAGUGCCAUACAUUCUGCUGCAUCAGUAGCUAGAUCUCUCUCUGUGCUUCUCAUCAUGGAGUAACCCCUGUCCUUGGACACUGCCCAUGCAGCCCUGCAAGGGGUCGGGAGGACGGGGGACUAUAGGAACACUGUGAUCUCUUAGUUUAGCUAAGGAGCUCCCUCUACUUCAAGCUUAGUAAUGACUGAUGACUGUGUUCUGUCUUUUGCUUUUGAUUAUGUUGAAUAAUUAAAACGUUGUGAUUAUCUAAUGA